CACUGUGCAGCAUUUCAUAAUGUGCAAUUGCUGCUGAGCCCCGAUUCAGCUUUUUCCUCUUGCAGGAUGUAAUGCGUCUCAGGCUUCUGCCCCGCUCUCAGGGAUAAUGCAAGCAGCACAAAUCUCCCCAGAGCUGCCUGAACAGCCAGCUCUUGCAGCAGCAUGAGCUGAUCUGCAGCCAGGCUGGGGCUGCAGGUAACAGAACAUCUCGGGCAGGACGGCACUGUCUCACCGAGAAGAGGAGAGGGAGCUGCUGCCUGCGGAGCACCUUGCAGUUGGUGCAUUGCUAACUGACUGCAAG
This 301-nucleotide long non-coding RNA is filed under the name Parus major (Great Tit). RNAcentral's name for it is "lncRNA (ENSPMJG00000016331.1)". Lineage: Eukaryota; Metazoa; Chordata; Aves; Passeriformes; Paridae. The record is from RNAcentral.